GUCUCUGUCUCUGUUGCUGCUGCUGCGUUUUGUUUAUUUGUCUCUGUUCCACUUGUUUUUUGCCUUUCGCCUUUUGCACUUGUCCGUUCGUUGCUGCUGGUUGGCGCUGGCUCUGCUUCUUGUUUGCUUGUUAUUAUGCACACUUUUCCCGUUACAUUUCAAUUAGAUUUUCGCUGAUUUUUCGCACUAAUUCUUUAUUGGGAAUUUAAUUUGCGAUUUAGAAUAUUUAGCACACCAAUUUUUUUUUGUUUUUUGAGGAGAGCGCGAGACACACGAACCACCGCGCCGCGCCGCACGCCCGAAGUGCCUUUACGUUAUAUGAUGAAAACCGAAACGACGACGACGCCGAGAACCGUUCAACAUGAACGACGACGACGACGCGAGCAGAGCAAAACAGAGCAGAGCUGCCCCACUGAGCUAACAGCCAACAGCAGCAGCAGCAGCAGCAAAACGAUGCGAAAAACGAAUUGAGGCGAAGGCGAACAGGCACGGCAUGGCACCCAACACACACAUCCACACACACACAGACGAGGGAGCGAACGAGAGAGCAAGACCAGAGGCAAGCUUGAGAGAGCCAGCCAGCGCAAUGCGUGAGAGCGUGUCAGGCUCGGAAAUCCAAUUACAGGCAGAGAAGGGACUCCGGACCCCAGCAGACAGAGCGGCAGCGACAGUGUCGCGGCGCCGUAGCUUACAGUGACUCGAAAAGGAACACGCAUAUACACACACAGACGCACACGCAGUGGGACGCAUGGGGACAACAGAUGGAUCAAGUGGGAUUCACACACACGCACACAAGCCGACGGACGACUUGGGGACAGUGGGAGGAACCGAAAUCGCAAAAAGAAACAACAAAAACGUGACUUUGAAUUAUCCCACGGGGAAUAUAGGGAAAACAGUGGAAAAGCGGCGUUGAGUGGAGGAGAAACAAAUGAUACUGGAAGAAUAAAUGUAGCUGUGUGAUUUAUGCCUAA
This is a long non-coding RNA of Drosophila persimilis, 971 nucleotides long. RefSeq lists it as uncharacterized. The transcript has 2 exons. Lineage: Eukaryota; Metazoa; Arthropoda; Insecta; Diptera; Drosophilidae. The record is from RefSeq and is a predicted model, not a curated record.